GACGAACGCUGGCGGCGUGCCUAAUACAUGCAAGUAGAACGCUGAAGAGAGGAGCUUACUCUUCUUGGAUGAGUUGCGAACGGGUGAGUAACGCGUAGGUAACCUGCCUUGUAGCGGGGGAUAACUAUUGGAAACGAUAGCUAAUACCGCAUAACAAUGGAUGACACAUGUCAUUUAUUUGAAAGGGGCAAUUGCUCCACUACAAGAUGGACCUGCGUUGUAUUAGCUAGUAGGUGAGGUAAUGGCUCACCUAGGCGACGAUACAUAGCCGACCUGAGAGGGUGAUCGGCCACACUGGGAAUGAGACACGGCCCAGACACCUACGGGAGGAAGCAGUAGGGAAUCUUCGGCAAUGGGGGCAACCCUGACCGAGCAACGCCGCGGGAGUGAAGAAGGUUUUCGGAUCGUAAAGCUCUGUUGUAAGUCAAGAACGGGUGUGAGAGUGGAAAGUUCACACUGUGACGGUAGCUUACCAGAAAGGGACGGCUAACUACGUG
RNAcentral lists this ribosomal RNA (497 nucleotides) under uncultured bacterium. RNAcentral describes it as "partial 16S ribosomal RNA". It matches the Rfam family "Bacterial small subunit ribosomal RNA", at positions 28 to 507 of the family's 1533-position model. The record is from RNAcentral.